This 343-nucleotide unclassified non-coding RNA is filed under the name soil metagenome. RNAcentral's name for it is "partial contains 5.8S ribosomal RNA, internal transcribed spacer 2, and large subunit ribosomal RNA". The stretch from base 1 to 120 matches the Rfam family "5.8S ribosomal RNA", at positions 35 to 154 of the family's 154-position model. The record is from RNAcentral.
GAUGAAGAACGCAGCGAAAUGCGAUAAGUAAUGUGAAUUGCAGAAUUCAGUGAAUCAUCGAAUCUUUGAACGCACAUUGCGCCCGCCAGCAUUCUGGCGGGCAUGCCUGUUCGAGCGUCAUUUCAACCCUCGAGCCCCCCCGGGGGCCUCGGUGUUGGGGGACGGCACACCAGCCGCCCCCGAAAUGCAGUGGCGGCCCCGCCGCAGCCUCCCCUGCGUAGUAGCACACACCUCGCACCGGAGCGCGGAGGCGGUCACGCCGUAAAACGCCCAACUUUCUUAGAGUUGACCUCGGAUCAGGUAGGAAUACCCGCUGAACUUAAGCAUAUCAAUAAGCGGAGGA